UACGGUGGAUGCGAGCGUUAUCCGGAUUUAUUGGGUUUAAAGGGUGCGUAGGCGGGAUGCCAAGUCAGCGGUAAAAAUGCGGUGCUCAACGCCGUCGAGCCGUUGAAACUGGCGUUCUUGAGUGGGCGAGAAGUAUGCGGAAUGCGUGGUGUAGCGGUGAAAUGCAUAGAUAUCACGCAGAACUCCGAUUGCGAAGGCAGCAUACCGGCGCCCUACUGACGCUGAGGCACGAAAGCGUGGGCAUCGAACAGG
Molecule: ribosomal RNA, 252 nt
Filed under: uncultured bacterium
Lineage: Bacteria
Description: partial 16S ribosomal RNA
Rfam family: Bacterial small subunit ribosomal RNA
Source: RNAcentral